GUAGGUGUCCAGGUGGGUCUUGAACAUCUCCAGAGAAGGAGACUCCACAACCUCCCUGGGCAGCCUGUUCCAGUGCUCCGUCACCCUCACUGUGAAGAAGUUCCUUCGUGUAUUGGAGCAGAACUUCUUAUGCUCAAGUUCAUGGCCGUUCCCUCCUUGUCCUGUCCCCACAGACCGCUGAAGAGUUGGCGGGUCAUGCGGUGUAGCUUGUAUGACCGACAAUUUGGGUGCAUCCCAUGCCUGUGCGUAGGGAGCUGGGUACCAGACUUCCACGUCAUUUGGAGAAAGGUCGCCUGUUUCCCUUGUUAGCAUACUUGCUUGUCGAUCGUUUAUAAAGGCUGGGAAUUUGCUCAGCUGUCCUUGUCCUUUGAAGAAGAUGCAAUAUUCACUGCUGUUCACCAAGCCAUGGAAGGCAGAUACUGGUCUGCGUAGUCCUGUAUUCAAGAAUAAAAUUGUCACAGUGUUCAAAGUUUAAAUUAAGCCUUCAGAUAAUAACGCUUUUUUUUUCUGGGGAGUUUUGCAUCAAGUGAGCAUCAAUAGAUUGGGCUAGUCCUUGCUUAAAUGAAUAGGGCUUAAAUAGCUACUGAAAUUAGGCUGGCAGGUUGUUCCCCCUCCCUUCUCUUUCCCAGCUCAUACUAUGCUCCUGGUGGAAGGGAGGAUGGCUAAAAGUCAGAGGUAGAGGAAUGAGAUAUUUGUGGAACUCAUACCUCUGCUCCCAUCUGCAGUGACUGACAAGCAGUCUGUCACUGACCAGCUAAAUAUCUGGAGGUAUUAUGGGCUGAACUGUGCCAGCUGGAGAACUGACAUUUCUGUUUGUACCUGCUGAAGUUCCACACAUGUAUCCUGAAAUUACUUCAUAUUAUAUGUGGGGGCUGUUUGCAAGAGGAACCUUGUAAUCUCAAAGCAGUUAUCUCCCUGCAAGCCCUUAUUUGGGCUGAUAGCCGCUUUUCCUCAAAAGAAGGGGAAAAAAUGAUCGGCCUAGUACUUUUUAAAUGCAGACUGAAAGGAAGAAGUAAUUUCUGCAGAGCUGCAGUAUUUUGUGUCUUCCUAUUCUCUUUCACAUUCUGCUUGACAUACCAAAUAGUCUGGAGACUAUUUGGUGCUUUGCAUCCACCCUCCCAGGCGUAGGGGAAUGGUGAACUGCACAGGUAUCAGCAGAAUACUGUGACCAGUCAUGGAAGAAAGUAGCAGAUAGCUUCUGGUUACUCACUGGUGUAUUAGAUUUUUACUAGCAGAACAAUUUUCAGGUUUUGGGCCUGCAUGGCAUAUGGAAAUAAUUGCUUUUAAUAUGCUCUGGGGUAUCGCAAUCUGACAGAAAGACAGCACUGCUUCCCUCUCCUGCCACCCAGGGCAUGGGAUAUGCUGAUGUACAGAUCUGGGUUGGUUUCUGAGUUUCAUUUUGAUGUUUUUUCUUAUUUCCACAGAAGCAGCUGAGGAGUAAAUGCAAAUUUCCAGGGAAGGUAUUAAUAUAUUCUGCAAUGACAUUUGUCAAAAAUGAAUUCAGAGCGCUGUUACUUUAUAAUCUGGUGGGUUUAGCUGGGUGUGUCCAGACCAGUGAGGAUCUUUUCUGCCACUGGAAACAGUAUUGUUUUACGCCCUUUGAUCAGUGUGCUUUCCAACUGCUUAACCUCGGUGCCUAAUCCCAGGAACAACACCUAUGCAGCAGAAACCAUCCCCAGCUCUUGUGUUUCCUGGAACCACUCUGAGGCUGCAGCAUCCUCUGAAGCUUGGAAAAUCUUUUUUGGCUUUGGUCUAAUCCUCUCCAAAUCUCUAGAUCUGCCCCCUCUGUGGAAAUAGUGGGAUGUUAACGUUUUAAAUUUAAGUAUAUGUAUAUAAUUUGAGAAAAUGAUUGAUUAGAUAUGCCAGCCUCAGAAGUCGACCUCAGAUAUGCCAACCUCAGAAGUACUGGUUGCAGUAUACCUCUCUGCGCUGCACUCUUUUUGACUUCUGGUUUCUGUUAUUGUGGCAGAGUGAAAUUUGACUGUCUCACUAUUAUCCCAUGCUUAUGGGAAAUGGGAACCCACAGAUAUCCAGGUAUAGAAGUGUGGUAUUAAGUGAAUGAUUUGUUUGCUUUGCACAGUUGUCUAGAAGGUAAAAUGCACUAUGUUGCUGCAGUGGAGUCCUCAUGGUAUUUUUCUUUAAAAUUAGCAAACUUUAUUUUAUUUUGCCAGCUUGCUUGAGUGAAAACUGUGUCUUCUUCUUGGCUUUAGUCUGUAUUUGCAGAUCAUUUUGUGAACAAAAGCUGAGGGUUUUGCCAUCCUUUUAAAUGACAUUGUGAAUCCCAGAAUCAAAGCAGGAAAAUGUCUCCCAGCCUAUAUAGGCAGAGAUGAACAGAUGCUGGAUUCAGCAGUUGUUUUAUGUCUUGCAGCCUAAAAGUCACAGCACAGACAUUGGCGAGAGGCCCUUCUUCAAUCAAAACACUUAAGUAAUCUUAUCAGUUGAGCAAAGUUGCUCCUCCUGUCCCGAAGAGAACAUGGUGCAGAAGCAGGCACUUUCUUGCAGCAGUGAAUGAAUGAGAUUUGCUCUAGCCAGUAUUUUCCUUCCAUAAGAUCAGCAGAAUACUGUUUGCUGCACUGUGUUUUUGAAAUCUUCAGUUGUUAUGAAUCAGAGCUAAAAGAAGCACCAAUACAUUUUCUCUUCGUAAGAAGAAAGAAAGGCUGAUUUAAAGAAAAUCAACGGAAAAGAGUGCAGGAAGCUGCCGAUGUGGAACAUUUUAACCCCUUACCAAUACAGCCUUUUAAUCAAAGGUUGUUUUUUUUUCUGUAAGAUGUCACUUUGAAAGGUUCUUGCUCAUUAACUGCUGAUGAAAAUGUUUUGUUGCUAAAUUUGGAGGAACUGUGGCUGAUGUAAAUUUUCUGUGUGAAAACCUGUAGAAAUUGGCUUCAAAUAGCAAAGGUGAAGGUGACAGAGAUGUUCCAAAGGAAUGCUUCAGCUCUCAGGAAUACAAACAGAGUCAUGAGCAUUUCUUGCAGAUUUGCAUAGAGAUAUGUUGAUUCAAAACAGAAGGAUUUUGAUGAGCAGAGAUUAGCUUUAGCCAUAGCUGAGUAAAGAGGAAAAAAGGUAGGUCAAAUUCAAAACAACGGAAACUCAACAGCUUAAUUACACGCUACAGAUGGUCCUACUUCUUCUGUCAGCUAAAAUGGAAAAGUCCUUUGUUAAAUGUUAUUAGUACACAUGAAACUAUGCUCUUUAAGGCAAUGCCAACUGCUUCUGAAAUCAUGACAGAGAAUCAAGUUAUGCUAUGCUUUCUUUUCUGGAAUUCAUGCGUUUUAGGUUGCGAGUGAAACUUAAUUGUGUCAAGUGGGAAUGUUUGGAUUUGAGAAAUGAGUUGGUACACGCUCAUAUGAACUUUUGUUGCUGUUCUGCCCUUUCAGUCAAGAAAUUCUGAUGUCUUUGGACUAAGUAAGUUAGUGAAAGUAAUGCAACAGCUUAGAUAAUGUAACUUUUGUGAUGACAAAAGAAUGGCUCAACAUCAAUUACAUAUGAUCAGUAAUAAGAGUGAACUAAAAUUACAGCCUGACACUGCUUAGGAGGGGACAUGGACGAUGUGUGUAAUGUAUUUCCCUCAUUCCAAAACUUGUCUGACUACCAACCUGACUACAGGAAAAUCCUUGUAAUUUGGCUUUCGUUGGCUGAAUCUCCAGUGGAAUCUAGGGCAUAAAUGCAUUGCCUUGUACAUAUCUCAGCCCAGAUCUAACAUGGGAGCAAGAAAAUAUGGGAAGGCUUGCACUGCUGUCUCUUCUCCUCUUCUUGAACAAUAACAGGAAUAGCACAGGUUUGGUCACAUUGCAAAGCAGACAGUUAAUAUUGCCUUUGUUUUAGCUCUACUGAAUGGAAAGAGAGGCCCAAUUUUUUUUUUACCUGUCCAGCACAGGUAUCCUCUGACAGACUGCAGAGCUGCUCUCAGGCUACCUCUGAGGAGGCACUGGGGAAAUGCCCUGGUUCAAUGUCUUAGGCUUUCCCAUUGCACCUAGGCCCUGGCCAGGACAAAUGCAGUGAUCACUACUCUGCGGACUCUCCCUUUGCCUCACAUGUGACACAGACUUGUCCCUUUCCUUCAGUUUGGCCACCAAGAAAAAACAUCUGAUGCAGCUCAUGAGCUUUGCGUUAUGGUGGGUCUGGGUCAGAAUUUGUUUCUUCUAUUAAGUUAGGGCUAUAAAUAAGAAGUUCUAGGGCCCUUGGUUUUAAAUUUGGAAAGACAGGGUAGGGUAGCCAGGUUGUAUGCUUUAAGCUUUUGGUUCCAGCACCUGUGAGCUAAGGAAGCAUAUGUGGUGAUAAGUUUUGCCAAAAAAUUAUCAAUAACAACCUGAGGUCAGGCUCAAGUAUGUCACUAUCCACUUUUGUGCCCUUCUGCCCCACAUACUAGAAACCGAAGAAUCACUCUAAUCUGAAGAGCCAAAUGUUUGAUUUUAUGCCAGUGAGCACCCGUUAACAGGGCUUUCCUGAGGUCUUUGACCUGCAAACAUAGAUAAGCUGCUCUUGUGGGUAAGGAGACUGGAAACUGUUGGGCUGCAAUCCAGCAGGUUACAUCCCAAGCUCUUUACCUUUUUAAUAGGUGCUUGAACUAUUUGGCAGGAGGCCAAUGAGGUCUGCCGGGUCUGCAGUGGGGCAAGGAGUUACAUUAAAAGACCUAGUUUCUAAUUAAUCCAGAGCCUUGUAGCUCUUUAAGUGGCUUGCUCAGAGCUGCAGAGGUUUAUGGUCCCCACCGAGUGCAGAAAGAGGUAGAUGAGGCCUCCAAUUCUUCUGAACACUGAAGACAACAUUACCAUUUUGAAACUGUCCAUUGAAAACUGCUAGAAAAUUAUCUGUGAGGUUGUAUCUGAGGGUCAGAGGCAGGAACAAAGAUUAAUUGGCUGAUGUUUCUCUCAUGGGCAGGAGUUCAACACUGUUAUAUACUUUCUUCGGUUAAAAUAGGUCUUUGCCUCUAAGUGUUGCUUAGCAGCUUGUUUUUAGAGGACACAAGAAUGAAGGAAGAAAUAAUAAUCAAAAUUUAGCCUAAUGUUUUUAAUUCUUUCUGCACAUGCUGACGGUAAUUACUGGAUGUUGGGAAAUUCCUUUGCUGUGCCACAGUGGAAUUUUGGCAUAGCUUUGGCAGAGGUUGCAGGAGGUGGCUUUGGAUUGCUCAGCCAUGUUGUUGCUUUUGAUAUGCUCUUGCUUCAUGGCAAGUAUCUUUUAAAGGCAAUCUGUACCUUCUGAUGCUGAAGGACAUCACAUGUGAGAAUAUGAUGACCCUGUAGCUCUAAUAUUUGACAGAGCUCUUUCGUGUAGAAUUACUGCAAUGAAUGCCUCUUUUUAGCAAUGGGGAGGGGCUUUGCUUGGAAAAGGCCUGACUAGCACGAUGUUUGUAUGGUCAACUGACCAAUGAAUGCAAAGCAGUGCAGUGCUUGCAGUACAGAUUCCUCUGCUGCUGGUUACCAUUGAAAUGAUGAUCAUCUGCAGUUAAGUGGCAGUUCGGUGGAGAGCUUGUUAAAAUGUUUUGUCUAAACAAUUUGCCCUCACAGGGAUUUUCAGGUCCUUCAGAUUAUAUUUACUCGAAGAGAAUAAUUAAAGAAAAAACAGCAGGCAGAUAACAGCUUCACAUAGGAAGGCCAUUUUGUUCAUUUAUAUCAUCUUUGUAAACUGAGUAUGCUUCUUAAUAUGCUAUAAAUUGAGUUGAGAUGAAAGAUCUAAGAAAUGGGACUCAGGUUGCCUGAGUCCUAUGCAGCGUACAUUUAAUACGUUUUCACUUAAUCAACUGUUAAUAUGUAUGACAAAAGUAAAUAUAGCAAUUGAACAACACAGUGCUAAAUGCUGUUCUGAAAGAAAACCACACUGGGUGAACUAAAACAACUGCAUUUCUUACUAAUCUACACAAUGCAUUUCGUUUAAAAGGAGAAUUUAUAGUAUUUGAAAUAUCCUACCACAUACUGAAACUUUUAGUGUAAACUGCCACUUUCUGGCUAUCACAUAUUGAAAUACUUGUGGUGCAUAGUGAAAUUUAUGUUACAUAGUGUAAAAUAUAUAGUGAAACCGAACUGAUGUAUAAUGAGACACACAUGUGCCUGCAAUGACUUAUCAGUUCCAUUAUUUUCUAACUAACAUUGUUUUCAUGAUCAAGUUUUUCUGGGUCAGAGGAAGACAAUGGUGAAAACCAGGAGUGGUAUUACAGUGGGGAGCGUAGGCCCAAACUUGCACAAAACCCCCACCAAACUGAGUUAUCCUUUUGUCAUUUUUGGAGAUAAAUCCUAAAUGCAAAGUCUGCUAAUGGUUACAGUAUGUCUCUGUUUCUCUGCCAAAACUUCAUUAUGAACAUCAACAUUGCCCAGCCAGGGAAAUACCACCAGCCACAAGUGGAGAAGCCGAGUGCUAGAUUCUCAGCCAUUUUCACCAGGAUGGGUCUGCCAUGUGAAAGACCUCAGUGAGGUGUGCUGGGCCCUGCAGGCGCACCUGAGCACAGGUCAGAUCAUCUGGGACAUGGUGACCCGUUCUGGUGCUUCUUGUGAGAAGGAGGCAGCUGGGCACAUCAGACCGGUCCUCCCUCAUCCUCCUGUUUGGGAUGUCCUUUGCAGGGAGAUGGUGGCUGCAACCUGCAGUACUUCUUCCCCUGCUGCUUAGGUUUGUAUUUUUUUUUUGGUUAAAGCCUGACUGUGCAGCCAAGCAUCCCUGCCGGGCAGGGCAGGCUGGCUGCCCUGGGCGUGCCCUGCUGCCAGCAGAGCAGGGCUGUGACAGCCGGUCCUGUGGCUUCUGGCCUCCCUGCAACCUGGGGCUCCUCUGCGGGGAUGUCAUCUGCAACUCGCCCUGACUCCCUAACCUCAGCCACAGUGUGGGCCGAGGGUGUCACAUCCAGUUCUAGCUGUGCAGCUUCCUUCCUGUGCUGGUGGACUGCGAUCUUGCAGGCCCCACUUGGCACAAGGCUGUGAGACUCCUCCAGCCCUGCCCACUCCUGCCCAGAGCUUUCCACCAGACCGCUCAACAAAAAGAGGGGAAAAUGAACAACAAAUCUCACAUUUCCUUGACCUGCACAAAUCCUUAACUCCAGAAAGGAGGUUUCUUUUAUGGAUUAUAUUUUGACUGGUUUUGCACCAGUGCCAGUGUGAUGAAAGGCUUUAGCAUUCAGAAAAUGGUAAUAGUAAUGAAAUUCCCUCUUUGUGAUCUCCUUAACUGCCUUGAUAACAUGCAAGUCAAGGUGCGUCUGUCCCCUCCUAUUCAGAGGCGUAUUGGCCUUUUGCUAAACCAAAACAAUGUAGGCCAUCUUGUAAUUGAAAGAAGACCUUCCUACCUCAUGGCUGUUGUGCAAUCAGUGCUCAUCAAGGAUGGCUGAAGGCACAAGACAAAACACACCCUGCGUUUGAGGGUAAUGUAUAUUAACCUUUCCACUUGGAAUGCCUAAUUGCUCAAAUAUUGCCAACAUUGUUCAAACUGCCAGAUAUGUCAGGGAACAGGCAGAACUGGAGGGACAACUCUAUAUAAGGGGUAUGACAAAUUUAUUGGGUAAACUGUAUGGGAGUGCUUAACCCUUCUUUCUGUUCUGUUUUUUGUAAGGACAACUGCCAAGCAGAUUUGAUCAUGACUAAUUCAUGUGAGGAAAUAGCACAGAGAGGUUAAGCAGCAACAACCAGUUUAAUUUCACUUGUUACCAACAAGGCCUAACUUCAGUUUCAAAAGAAGAUGAAAGGUCUUUAUAAACUGUCCAGAAUGGUGGACCCUCCUCAAAGCUGCAUUUGAUACAGUCUCGGCUCCUGUGGUGAGGCAGCUCAGCUGGCAAUGCCACGUCGCGCUUGGUCCCCUGUUUCAGUGGUGAUGGCAGUGAGGUAUUGGCUACAAGAGCGUGCCAUAAUGAAACACGACCAGGGUGUUUGGCACUGGCAUUGUUGUUUGCCACUUUCAAUCACGGAAACUCGGAGCCCACAAAAGCAGGAGUCAGCAUUGUUGGAGACAUCAUCGCCG
Numida meleagris (helmeted guineafowl) is the source of this 7926-nucleotide long non-coding RNA. RefSeq lists it as uncharacterized. NCBI's taxonomy places the organism in Eukaryota, Metazoa, Chordata, Aves, Galliformes, Numididae. The record is from RefSeq and is a predicted model, not a curated record. The transcript has 3 exons.